RNAcentral lists this long non-coding RNA (2151 nucleotides) under Rhagoletis pomonella (apple maggot). RNAcentral describes it as "uncharacterized LOC118741599". The record is from RNAcentral. Lineage: Eukaryota; Metazoa; Arthropoda; Insecta; Diptera; Tephritidae.
GGUGCGAUAAUUUGGAUACCUCAAUUCCUGAUCUAGCAACUGAGUUUGAUGAAUCGAUUGAAGCUAGUAUAAAAGAGGAGUUACGAAGGGAAUCAUCGGAUUGGGAAGUGGUUCUAGAUAGAUGGGACAGAUCUUAUAACAUUCAACAACGCGAUUUAUCACUUCUGAGUAGUUACGAUUUUAUUAAGGAGUGGCCAAAGUUAAAAGACGCCAGAGGCCCCAACUGAUAAACUCCGACUUCAAGCGGUUGCAUCCUAACAAAGAACAUUUAUUAACAAGUAAGAAAGUCUAAGUACGGGCGGAGCCGAACAUUAAAUACCCGUCGCAGGUACCGCCACAUGACGCUGAAAAUUGUGUGCUAACAACGCUAAUACAUUCAAUUCUACCUCCAACCGCUAGAUUCCACAACACGUCAGGAGCAUCAAAAGCAAAAGCUACAAUAUUGGACGCGCAAGAGUUCUUUAUUAUCAAAGUAGAAACUAUAGGCAAUGUUUAUGAAGAAAUUCAAAAGUAUGUUGACAAAUGUUAUAUGAAUUCAUUUACAGUUCAACCUUUUAUAAUAAUGGAGGGAACAUAUUUAUCACCUAAAGCCUUUUUUGCUUAUAUUGAUAAAAUCAUUUACAAGUUUGACUCUUUUAUUGAAUGUCUGGAUUGUACUUUUAAAAUAUUUCAAGUUUUAAAUCUAAAGUAUCCCGCAGUUGCUGCCAACGCUUGGACCUUUAUUCAGAGAUAUUUCUUUGAGAUCGAAACAACGUCAGAUAUUAAAACACCUGCUCUGCUGUCGCUUGUAAAUUACCUUAAAAAUAAAUAAUAUUUAUAUAUUUCAAUAUGAUUUGCUUUUUAUGUAAAAAAUGUUUCAAACAACCUGCUGUUAUAUAGCACAUUUAAAAUCAUAUCACUCUCUUAAGCAAAGUCAUACAAAGAUUUGUACUUUUGGUAAUUGUAAGCAAUUAUUUGCAUCGUUCGGUAAUUUCAAAAACCAUUUGCAAAAAUGUAUGAAUGAAAAAUUUGAGAUUUGUAAAAAUAUAACUGAAAGCUCAGAAAAUGAAGUAAUACAGAAAAAAUUAACCCAGCCAUGUGCUAUUGAAAAUUUAAGUGUACAAGUACAUGAAGGAUAUAGAGUUUCAAAUGAAGAUUACAAUACAUUGGUUUCGAAGCUCCCGAACAAUUUAUUGUAAUUUUCAUUAAAAUUGUAUUCAAAAAGUUCUAUGUCUAGAAAAGAUGUACUAUUUGUACAAAAUGAAUCGCAAAAUCUUUUCAAAUUGUUUCAGAAUGUUUAAACAACGUUGUAAAAAGAGAGAGUUUAACAAGGCAGAUCCUAACUUCAGAGUUAGAACUUCUUUCUAAUGUUUGCAGCAAUGCCUUUGAAAACAUACCAUCAGAAUAUCUUAUUAUUAAACACUUAAGUAAAACAAAUAUGUAUCAGGGUCCUAAGACUAUUAUUAUUGAAAACGUAAUAGCAGAAAAUAUUGCAAAAGGUAUUCCAACAUUGUCAGAAAAAAGCGAACUAUUGAAAUUAUGCCAUUAUCAUUUCAAUUUAAAUCUUUUUUUGAAUUAAAUGGCGUAUUAGAUAUUGUAGUUGCAAAUUCUAUGCAAUUGUUUAAUAACAAGAACAUUUGUAAUAUUGUAAGUGGCACAGUUUUUAAAAAAGCAGUACUUUCUUGUGUUUCAAAUGAAAUAGUAAUACCAUACAAUAUAUAUUUCGACGAUUUCCAAGUAAAUAAUGCGCUAGGAACGCACACUUUUUACAUCUGUGGCUGCUACAAUAAUUUUCCAACAUUCCCUCAAUAUUUAAGUUCAAAGCUUGACUUUAUAUUUCAUGCUGCUAUAGCUACGCAAAAUUUAAAGAAAUAUGGAAAUGAGUUAGCAUUUAAUAGCUUACUAAAUGAACUAGUUCUGUUAGAGAAGGGUAUUUUCAUACAAAACAAAACUGUAAAGUUUUUGUUCACAGCAGUACCUGGAGAUAAUCUUGCUCUUAAUGGGGUAUUAGGAUUUUCUAAGUCAUUUAGUGCGCACAGAUUUUGUAGGGCAUGUAGAAGAUCGAAAGAGGAAACUAAACAUGAUUUCGUGGAAAAGGCUAUUAGGACAAAAGAAAGUUAUGCAGCCGAUAUAUUUGAAGGCAUUAUUUCAGGUGUUUCGGAGGAGUGUAUU